AUAGAGGUGGGAGGACGACCAAGAGGGUCCAAGGGUCGUGCUCCACCAGAUUGGGGCGCACCCCACAUGGGCCCCACAUGGGCCAGGGUCCCAAACAAAGUUACAAGCCCAUUGGCCCAAUACAGGUGACGCAGCACCUUUCUUUUGUGAUUGCGGCCAAACGAGAUAGAAUUCCGAGAUGAGGCUAGAUCCGUUGGAAGGAGGACUUCGAGAGCUUUCCAUCAAGUACUCACGGGCCCAAAACGGAGCACGUAUGUAGAUUUGGCGGCCGUUUGAAGUCAGCAAUGUAACACGUGGCCGAAUCAGAUUGCAGCACAUGGAGGACUUGAUCUUGAUGUCUUUUUGUUGAUUCAUGAUGUGAGCAAUGGUCAUAUCCAUAGUAGACAUGGUCACAUCAUCCUCCCCUUCUUCACAGAAAACUGUCCUCGGUUUUUCCAUAUGGUGCUCUUCGCGCAGUCCACUGAAAACAACAUGUUUCUUGCAAUCAAAACAAGACAAACUCAAGACAAUAUGAUUAGCAGUAACAUGUCUUUCUAGCUUGCAUAUUUUAUCCGGAACUACAAGAUGUUCUAAAUCCAAGCAAAUGUAAACUCUAUGCACCAAAAAUAUUCCUCUAUCAUUAUAUUCGCCAAAGAUAUGAAAAAUAGCAUUAGUUGGACAUGGCAAAUCAGAUUUAGCAAAUAAUUUCUCCUUCAAAUUAUCGAGCUCACAAAAAUCAUCAAACUGAACAUAGCCCAAAGUAUUUAAAGAAGAUAGCAAUUCGCGUUCCUCUACUUCAUUAGCAAUGUGAACAACAUGCUUAGAAUCAGCACACAAAGAAAUAGUAGAACUAACAUGUUCAUUCACUAGUUGUGGCAUGGAUAUAAGUGAAACAUUAUCACACAACUCUUCUUUAUCACAAGGAAGAGCAAGUAAAUCAACUUGUGACAAAGGCAACUCAGCAAUUGAUUCCACUAAUGGUUGCUCUACUAUAGCAUGAAAAGUGGACAAGUGUAGCUCACCUUGAGAAUACUCACCUUCAUUUCUCUCAGCACCAUUUAAUUUACCUUGCAAACUUUCUUCAGACAUCGCAGGUGCUUCAUCCUCUUUCUUCUCAAGUAUACCAUUCUCCUUUUCUUGGAUGUGCUGAUCUUCCUACAAAAUGUUAGUAACAAGGGAGACAAAAGAUUGCUCCUCCAAUGUUUGCACAUCAUCAUUACAUAAGUAUAUUGGGGAUUCAGAAAUAGGAGAUAAAUCACAUUGGUCAUGCAUCCUCGCCUUUGAUAUGAUCUGACUCUCAAUGCUACGAGCAAGUAUGAAUAGGUGCCCAAUAUGAUUAUAUGUCACAUUAUCAAGCAAAACCUGAAUUUCAGAAUUAAGCCCAUUGAAAAAUCUACGCGUUGUAUUUUCAUUGCACUCUUUGAGACCACUGUAGAUGAUACAGGCCUUAAAUUCAUGAAUGUACUCCCUAACAGUUCUGUCACCUUGUUUCAGAUGUUCUAAUUUCUCCCGAAGAGUACAUUUGUAAUAAGAUGUCACAAAGCGUUUUCUCAUCAUGGUUUUCAAUUCAUCCCAAGUUUCAGGUUUAUUACUAACAUAAGUCCACCAAAAUAAUGCAGAAGAGGUAAACUUAUUACUAGCAGCCUUAAUCAUUUGAGCAUCAGAAAAAUCAUAUAUAUCAAAUUCAUUGUCUACUGCUAGCUCCCAAUCAAUGUAUGCAACAGAAUCAUACUUCCCAUCAUAGAAGGGUAACUUAGAUGCAACUUGUUCAAAAUUAUAGUCAUGUACCUCAUAUGCAUCACGUGGAGAAGUCGUCAUAUCUCGUCGAAGGUGUAGAAGUCGAUGUUCUCGUAUUCCCUUACACAAUCCUGCCAUGGUUAGUAGCAAACAAGAAACACACAAAAAUAUGCACGCUCCUAUCAACUACUAGGUAGUGGCAGCUCAAAUAUCACACACACUCAAGCUUUUAACCAAGCUCUUACAAGUUCUUACCAAAGCAAGCGGAAUGGUGAUGUACAUUGACUUAACCAAGCACCCCAAUGGAGGUUGGAUGUAUCGAUGCCUUGGCAAACACUUGUUGUACGGCUGCAAUCAGAUCUGUGGAGCUCUGGGUAGGCUUAAAUAUGUAGCAAAGGGAUAGCAAAUGCUCAAAUCAGAGAAUGCAAAGUUGAAUAAUGGUUCAAAGUCAAGUACCGUGCUGGUCCUAGGCUAGAACGUACUAGAGACGCGAGCCUAGACACAAGCGAUACCACAGGAUAGCACUAGAAACAACUUAGGCACACUCUGAUAGAUCAUGUUCAGCUCAAAGAUACAACUGAUUUUUUUUCUUUCUUUCUUCUUCCUUCUUUCUUCUUCUUUCUUUUCUCUCUUUUUUUUUGGUGCGGCUUUUCUUUUCUUUUUUCUUUUUAUGCACCUUCCUGCCUUUUCCUUACUUUCUUUUUUUUAUUUUUUUUUCUGCAAAAACAACUCAAGGACCUCAAUGCAAGAUUACCGGGACUCAAAUGUAAAUAUGAAAAUUACAAGGACUCAACUGUAAAAGUCCAGACCAAAAUUAAAAAUUAUACAAAAAUGGAAUGCUGAAUUUAUACUGGUUCUGUUUUUCCAAACGGAUCUCGAAACCGACACCAAACAAAAAUUCACCAAGGUGUUUGACACAACUCGGAACAGGCGAAACCGACGUGAGAGGGAGGGAGUCGGACUCAGCUAAAGUGGGCGACAAAAGGAGAUGGCGCCAACCGGUCUUCACGCGUGGGGAGAGUUUGGAAAGUUUGGCCUUAGAUGGAAACUAACCAACCUGAUUGAUCUAGUCUGCAAAACUUCCUCCAAAAACAGAUCUGUUAUCUUUUCUUUCUCUCCUCUUCCUCGCGCAAGAGAAACAAGCACGGCCGAAAACAGACGACAAACCCUUGAUGCAACUCAGCAACUCCAAGACCGACCGACAAAAACUUCUGAAAACUAGAAAAACGAAACCCCGACAACAAGAUAAUUCCGUUUUCCUAGGUCCCGACGACAACAAAGACACGGCGAGAGCGAUGACAGUGGUACGAAACGUGACCAGAACUCGAAACUCUAAACGAACUAAACGCUAAGACCAGCAACACGACUCGACAAUGCAACACAAAACUCAACAAAGAAAAAACUGAUAAAAACAAUGCAAUGGCACAAUAUGGCUAGGUACAGGAUACAAUUUUUUUUGUAUGGCAAUUUUCUGGUUAUGGGUAGAUAAAACUCACUGAGCAACGAAAGCUCUGAUACCACCUGAUGAACCCUGAGUUCCACUCGAGACACUCAAGGCUGUUGUUGGCCCGAUCUUUCGGUGAGUUGAUGAUAACUACGAUUUGGGAGAAACGUUGACGACCCGACUACAACCGUACGAGACGUUGUGUUGCGCCUUAGCGAUCGAUACACCUCUCCGUGGGUUGUUGAUCUUGCCGGUGCAGAUCAACCUUAUUCCUGCAAGCAAUCGAGAACAAGCAAGAACAAGAUAUAAAGCAACUGAAUUGCUAGAUAGACAAGACGCACAAAGAUGAAUUGAUACACGAUAAAGUGGGGUUCCGAACAAGCAGACGGACGGUCUAGCCGACACGCGCGCUGCAAGCGAAGUAGCAAUGGCUAAACUUACAAUUAAUCAAAACCCAAGAAACCCUGAAAGAGUACCUAACUAUUUAUAGAGGUGGGAGGACAACCAAGAGGGUCCAAGGGUCGUGCUCAACCAGAUUGGGGCGCACCCCACAUGGGCCCCACAUGGGCCAGGGUCCCAAACAAAGUUACAAGUCCAUUGGCCCAAUACAGGUGACGCAGCACCUUGCUUCUGUGAUUGCGGCCAAACGAGAUAGAAUUCCGAGAUGAGGCUAGAUCCGUUGGAAGAAGGACUUCGAGAGCUUUCCAUCAAGUACUCACGGGCCCAAAACGGAGCAUGUAUGUAGAUUUGGCGGCCGUUUGAAGUCAGCAAUGUAACACGUGGCCGAAUCAGAUUGCAGCACAUGGA
RNAcentral lists this long non-coding RNA (3967 nucleotides) under Oryza sativa (Asian cultivated rice). Its description in RNAcentral is "long non-coding RNA (OSAT_LNC001440)". Lineage: Eukaryota; Viridiplantae; Streptophyta; Magnoliopsida; Poales; Poaceae. The record is from RNAcentral.